ACGGUUUUCGGGUGCCCUCGUGGCGCCCAAACCCCAACCCUGUGAUUUGACAACCUGUUUCUUUGCCGGUGCCCUCGGGCCCGGCAGAAGCCUACUCAAACUCGUUUAUAAUCAUGCCUUCUGAAAUCUAAAAUAUAAUGAAUCA
Molecule: unclassified non-coding RNA, 145 nt
Filed under: uncultured fungus
Lineage: Eukaryota; Fungi
Description: sequence contains ITS1, 5.8S rRNA gene
Source: RNAcentral